Molecule: long non-coding RNA, 7956 nt
Organism: Bacillus rossius redtenbacheri
Lineage: Eukaryota; Metazoa; Arthropoda; Insecta; Phasmatodea; Bacillidae
Exons: 3
Source: RefSeq, a predicted model, not a curated record
UAAUUUCAUAGACGAGAGAGCCACACCCGAAGUUCCCCGAAGUUCAUGCUCGCUGUUUUUUUUCAGUUCUAUCUCAUUGUAUAAACCGGUGUGGCAUUAAAUUUUGCGGUCGAUUAAGAUAGGUUAGCUACAUUAUCAAUACUUUAAAACAUUGUGGAUGGUUGUUUAUAUUAGGUAAGUAUAGCUACAUUAAAAAUACUGUAAAAUAAUUUUAUGGUUGGUUAGCAAAUAACUUUUUAAUUUGUAGCUAUCCAGGGCUAGGAAACCGUUUACAUGAUUUCACAGUAUCUUUAAUGUAGCUAUCCUAACCAAAUAAACCGUCCACAAUUUUUUAAAGUAUUUAUAAUGUAGCCAACCUAACCUAAUUGACCAUUAGUUAUCAUUAGUUACAAUGGGAAAAAAAACAAAAAUAACAACGGAAGAUGCACGAUCGAGCGUUUGGCUCUCUUUAAUUACCAUUAGGCAGUUUAUAUUUACUUGACGAAACAGACAACACAACAGAACCUCUCAAGCACUGAAUAAUAAAUUACAAUUGCUUAUUACAGAAUAACUAGUCGACCUGUGCGGAAUUACGCAGUGCGCACUAAAUCGUUUUAUAUGGCAUUCCAUUCUUUAAAAAUUUGGGAGAAAUUACAUUUUAAAGAAGAAUAGAAAAAAAUGGUGUUAUUCAAUUCUUUGGUUGCACUUAUCUUCAGUAAUAACUGAUGCUAUGAGAAGUAAAUGUAAGAGGUUAUGUUUGUAGGUUAUGUUUGUGAUACAAAAUAUCAACAGUAAUUUGAAAAGUACUUUCUUAUAAGAAAAGUCUGACGUGCCAAAGUUCCCAACCAAUCCGGCAGAAUGGGAUACAAUCGCAAGAAGUUUUCAAUCAAUGUAGAACUUUCCCAAUUGUGGCAGUAGCUUGGACAGUAAACAUGUGGCUAUUAUCAAACUUAUAAUAACCUCAUACUACAUCAACUUCAAAUAAUAUUUAUAAACUGGUUGAGUUUCAGAUGGCAGUGCAAAAGAAGAAUCAGUGUUUUACCAGAAGUUGAAGAAUGGAGAACUUAAACUUCCGAAAAAUUAAGACACUGUUGAAAAUAAUAUGAACUUGGUUUUUGUUGCAGAUGAAACAUUUGCAGUCAAAGAAAACUUGUUGAAAUCCUUCCCCCCGCAAAGACUUUACUCGUUACACAUGGAAAUUGUAUUUUAUAAGUAAUAUAGAUCAUCCCAUACUUGUGAAUGUUUGGAAAACUCUUUGGAGUAACUGAUCACAAAACUCUAAAAAUCUCAGAAUUUUAAUAAACUAUGAAAUAAAAUGAAAAAGUUAUCCCCAAUGAUUGGUAAAUAUCAUUUUCAUCUCAGUUUUGAGUAAGUAGGAUUACAGUAAAAAAUUUUACAAAAAGGGGUUUUUAAUUUUUAUUAAGUCUAGACUUGCUUUUACUAACUUAAAGGUGAGGUAUAAUCCUGAUGAUUACUGGAAAGGUGUAAAUGUAAUCUGGUUGGAUUAUUCAGUGUCAGGGAAUGGGUGUACACUAACAAGGAGAGAAAAUAUGGGCACAAUUUAUGGAAAUUACAAUAGAUAAUGGACAAUGGAAUAUGAGGGAAAUGCUGACUAUUUAGUUGCAGCAAAAUAAAAUCAACUCGAGUCAUAUACUCUCAGACACUACACAAUAAAUUGGUUGUCUGAUUCUGGGAAACUGUGAGAGAGCUGGACAACAACAGAAGAAAAUAAUAAAUUGUGGAUUUACACCUACUCAUGGCUCACGUAGCACUGCACUUAUGUGUAGAGGGGAGGGUUGCUCUUGGGGUGUUGCAGGCUGCUCACAACAGUCUCUUUAACUACCUAGGUAAACGAGGAUGGCUACAAUCUCAACAUAUAUAGUAUUGUGUCCUUCCUGACAUGAUGUUAGUGCUUCGCCUGCUGUUCAACAUCUUCCUUGUGUCCUUCCACUCCCGAACCCGAUAUCAACACACUCAACCGAACGACUUCACAAACACCAUCUAGCCGACCCCCGCAGGGCCACCAAGCUCUCCACUACACACAUCCUACACGACACUUCUCCCCUUAAGAUCCCAACACGUAGUCUUGCAGCCUGCUGGAUACUUUCCUUGCCCUGCUCGAACUGCGAGUUGGCUGUGUGUGUACUAGCUCCAAGCGCAGCCCCUCCCAUUGCUCUCGUCCCUGGUCGUGAGGGUGCUCAAACCCCCUGAAAGGAAGGUUGCCGUGAACUGGCGUUGGUGCUCCCACUGGUGAUAGUCCGGCCAGCUGCUGGUGCAUACCCUUCUGCUCCAGAUUCUCUGCCAGUUGUUCCUGUCUGGACACUGGUUCCUUCGCUGGCUCUGUUGGAACAGUGCACCUGUGUGUGGUCACUGAUACCUUUGCCGGCUCCCUCAGAACCGUCUCGUCGGUAGGCAUAAGCUGGUGCGGGGUGGCACCACCACGUCUGUCUGGUCCACGCACUGCCAUUGGUGCCUGUAGAUGGAAAUGCUUGGUGUGCUGGAUGUGCUACAUUGCUUCUCAGUAAUUUGUCCACGUGACGUCUAUAUGUGUAGCCAUUCUUGUCUUGGGCAGUGUAUGUCACCGGCCUUUGUUUAGCUACAAUUGUUCCUGGUAGCCACUUAUGAAUCCCCCUGUAGUCUCGAAGAAGCACCCGCUGCCCCACUGAGAAAUGCCUGCACAUGUGGCAGUUUGUGACUUCCUUUAAGGUCUCCUCUCAUUUCAAGGUGGGAUUGGGACGUAUUUGGUCCAACGCCGUUCUCAAUGAAUGCCCCAUUAGGAGUUCUGCUGGUGUCUUAUGUGAGUCACCUAGUGGCGUUGUACGCAAUGCCAACAACAUUCACGCAACUCGUGUGUGCCAAUCGCUUUCUCCCAUUUUCCGCAGUUUAUUCUUCACCGUCUGUACCAUGCGCUCUGCUUGACCGUUUGUGGCUGGGUAGAAUGGAGGUGUUCGCUGCAGUGCCACCCCGUUCUUCUGCAGAAAUUCUUCCAAUUCUCGGGAUACGAAAGCUGUCCCAUUGUCUGAAACCAGGUAUGAGGAAUCCCAUGGCAACUGAAGAUCUAUCGCAGCACCUGGAUUACUGCACCUGACGACAUGCUAUGCAUCCUCCUCACCUCCGGCCAUUUGAAGUGUGCAUCCACUACAACGAGGAAGACCUUUCCCUGGAAAGGACCCAGAGCCUAAUCCAUGGCUCCUUCUCUAUUGCCCAUUUUACAUCCUUCACUUUGGGUCGGUUGGCUCUCUGCUGCUGGCAAUCUGGGCAUUGCCCCACCAUCUGCUCAAUAUCCCUGUCCAUUCCUGGCCACCACAUAUAGCUUCGGGCGAUCAUUUUGGAUUUUACGAUACCAUCAUGUGCGGCAUGGAGAACCAUCAACAGUUCCCUGCGGCGCACUUCUGGGAUGAUCACCAUAUUGCCCCACAGGAGACAGCCUUUGUGCAUGGAUAACUCCUCUCGCCUAUUCCAGUAUGGUCGCAACUCCUCGGAUCUCACAUGUCUCCCCUGCCAACUUUGGCUUGUGAGCUGCUUGACUUGACAAAGGAUGGGGUCCGUGGUCGUCAGCCGAGCCAGUGUCUGUGCAUCGAUUGGCGGCUCUGGUAUGGCCUCGAGCAUGAGCAUAUCACCUACUGUUGGUAUAUGCACGUUUCCUGUGGCCAUAGGUAACUGGCUGAGGGCAUCCGCAUGAGGUAUCUUGGUACCAGGCAUGUAAAUUAUCUGAAACUCAAACAUUGAGAGCCAUAGACUCCACCACAAAAGACGUGGGGAUAGUAUGUCUGGGGUUUGCCGCAUGGGGUCCAGCAAUCGCAGCAGCGGCUUGUGAUCUGUCACAAUUGUGAAAUGACGGGCGGUUACAUAUUGCCGGAAUUUUGUAACCCCAAACAUCAUGGCCAGUGCCUCCUUAUCUAGCUGAGAAUAGUUUCUCUCAUGACGUUGUAGUGUGCGUGAUCCAAAAACCACAGGCACUUCUUUUCCAUCAUCUGUGACAUGUGCUAACACUGCACCUACUCCAUAGUUAGAUGCAUCGCAUGUAAGCGUAAGAGGCUUAUGCAAGUCAUAAUGAGUCAACACUUGAUCCGAUUGCAACAGGUUCUUCGCCUUGCACAAUGCCUCUGUGUGCUCCGGCUUCCAAACCCACUCUGCUCCUGUGUCUAAGAGGCGAUGUAAGGGCUCCAGGACCGUGGCCUUAUUAGGCAGGAAUCUUUCAUAAAAAUUCAAAAUACCUAAAAAUGCCUGCAGUUCCUUCUUGCUUGUGGGUAUCGGAACCUCUCUGACGGCUUCCACCUUCGCAUCUGUAGGAUGCACUCCUGCACUAUCAAUUUGGUACCCCAAGAAUAUAACUGACUCCUCUUGAGUCGCAACCCUGCUUUAUCAAUCCUAGCCAAAACCACCUGUACCCUGUCCCAAUGUUCCUGCACGUCUUUCCCAGAGACCAAAAUGUCGUCCAACAUGACCACCACACCUGGAAUACCUGCUAGCAAGGUUUCCAUAAGCCGCUGAAAGAUAGCCGGGCACCCGCUUGCCCCGAAAGGUAGGCGCCUGACCUGAAACCACCCUUUCAUGGUGUUUACAGUUAACAUUGCUGCUGUCAUAUCAUCCACCGCUACCUGCAGGUAGGAAUCUGCUAAUUGAGCUUCGUAAAAACUGCCCCUCCAGCUAAGCUAGCGAAAGCUUCAUUAGUUGUAGGUAACUGAUAGAUGUUGGCUUUGCAAACUUUGUUCACUGUAAUUUUAUAGUCCUCACAGAGCCUGACCUUCCCAUUUGCCUUACGAAUGGGCACAAUAGGUGUCACCCAAGUGGAGAAUUCCACUGGUUCAUACACUCCUUGAUCAACCAGUUUGUCAAUCUCUGUACUCACCAAGUCCCGCAAUGCGAAAGGUACUCCCCGACUCUUCCGGAAAACUGGCGUGGCUCCAGGUUUCAGCUCCAUAGUCACUGGGGGCCCCACAUAUUUUCCUAACUCCACACUGUCGAACACCCAUGCAUGGUGCUGCACUGCAUGUGGUAUUUCUUGGUGUAUUAGUUGGAAAAUGCCCUCCACUUUGAUUCCAAGUGGUUCUAACCAAUUCCUGCCCACGAGACUUGGUCCUUUGCCUUCAGCCACUAAAACUGGUAGUCUACAUUGCCUAGUCUUUGUCUUUACCAAUACUUCUGGGGGUCCCCCUGAUUCCCAAUCUUUCCUGUGACCAAGUAUGCAGGACUCAGUUUGCAUCUGCUAGUGCUGGUAGGUCCAGCCACAAUCUCUUGUAAGUUUCGAAACUGAUGAUUGAGAAGCUCGCUCUUGUGUCAAUCUCCAUGGGAAGUCUCUGACCAUCUAGCCACACAUUUAGGAUAAUUGGUGGUUCACUUGUACACCUACUAGCCGUUGUCUGAAACACGCUGUAAUCUCCAGUGUUGGGUUGGUUUUUCAAAUUAAAAGUCCCUGCCGUGUCCGUGGCAUGCUUCCCAGACUUGCCCAUCUCCUUCCGGUCUCGCGCUCCGCUGUUCACUCCUGCAUUCCCCUUCCUCUUCUUUGUAAAACACGCUCGUUCUAGGUGCCCUGUUCGAGCACAACAAUUGCACACUGUCUGAGUGUGUCAGCAGUGGUUUGGGCUGUGGUCCCCGUUGCACCUCCAACAAGCGCGCCUGUCAGCUGCAAGUUGUUGGUUCACCUGAACUGGGCUUUGCUUCUGGUCAUCCCUAACCUCUUUUUUGUCAUACCUGAUGCGCCCUACCUUUAGCACUGCCCCCGCAGUUGGGCUCGGCUGUGCCUGUAGAUCAUGGACAUUGCGGCCUGUGGCUUCCGCAGCUGUUGCCAACUCAACCGCUUCCUUAAAUGUUAAGUUGCCAGGAGUGUGUGUUGCACCUUUGUAUCACGAGCACCACACACCACCCGGUCUUGCAACAUGCGAUCUAAAUCCGCAAAAUUGCAGUGGAUGCUAAGUCUUCACAAGUCCGCCAUGAAUUCUGCCAUAGAUUCUCCUUUGUGCUGAUUUCUGUUAUGGAAUUUGAAUGAUUCCACAAUCUCACUUGGUUUAGGUUCGCAGUGUUGUGUGAGUACCGCCAAAAUGUUGGGAAAUGCAACUUCGGACGUUGGUUUCAAGGCCACUAAUGAGGUCACGAGGUUAUACAGCUCUGCUCCAUCAAUGGUAAAAAAUAUUGCCCUUUUUUCAUUAUUGUCUGUACGUAAUUUUGUUCGCCACAAAAUAAUAUCCCAAACGUUCUGAGUAAGUGUGCCACGUUUCACGCCCUGGAACGAAUUCCCCAAACGCCGGAAACAUCGCCAUACUUUUUCCCCGCACGCACGUCCGGGUCGUAGAAUACAAAUCCUCGUCGCCACUAUUGUGUCCUUCCUGACAUGCUGUUAGUGCUUCGCCUGCUGUUCAACAUCUUCCUUGUGUCCUUCACUCCCGACUCCGAUAUCAACACACUCAACAGAACGACUUCACAAACACCAUCUAGCCGACCCCCGCAGGGCCACCAACCUCUCCACUACACACGUCCUACACGACAUAUAGUAUGACAAUGUUGACAAGUGUGGUUAUCAGGGAAGGCAAAUGAUUAUGUUGAAGACAAAUGUAGGUACUUAAAAUAUAUGAGAAUAAUGUGUCUGUGGUAGACAUCCAUGAAUUACAUAUUGUAGGCUACUGAACAACACCUUUAAAAACAACACAGAAUAAAAUUUCAAGUCUAUACAAGAAUUCAUUUACAGCAAAAUCAUUCAGGGUGGAAUUUCGAAUGUGGUAAUUUAUAAGCGAAUUUAAUUUAAAGAAGAAUAUUGGUGACAGUUUUAUAUCUCAUGUUUUAAUAACUUGCAACCUUUUUUUUUAUACAGAUUACCUACAAUAUUAAAUUUUUUUAACAUCUGUUUUACUUAGUGGAUUUAUUAAAAUAUUAAGACAAUGAAAAAAAAAAAUCUUUACUGCUCCACCUUUUUCUGAUAAGCAAAGAGUUAAAACUAAAAUAUAUUCACUUUAUUUUAAAUGUAAAAUUGUGAAUGAAAAAUUCACACCACUUGCAUUAGUGGAUUUAGUGAUAUAUGUAACCAUAAUAAGACCAAUGUAUCCUUUUUUAAACAUAUCAGGGGUAAAAUUUAAAAAAAUAAUAAUGAUAAACUUUUGACGACAGUCGUCGUACCCUCCCAGAUGCAGAGGCCGUACCUGGCCACCGACGUGGGCCUGAGGUAGUGUGUUUUUCCCCAGUGAAGUGCGACGGCCAGGGACGCACCCGCGUGCGCCCUAGCGGGCCAAUGAGCCUUUUUGUGCAAUAGAUAAUUCUGUGUUUGUAUAUUUUUCCCAAAUGGUCACGGGCCUCAACGAGUAUGUAAAUAAUGUAAACGUAAUUUAUUAAUUCUGUAAAUUUGCUGUUGAUUAAUGUUUCGUUUAGCUGUGUAAAUAUUCUGUGUUUUCUCAAGUGUGCUAGUAUGUAAUUGCAGCCUGGCGCGCCGUGGGGCGGGACCUUCUCCCACGCCGGCCGAUUUCUCCUCCCCUCCCCAGCAGCCCGCGAGCUCCGGCCCGCUGGCGGGCGGGGAAGGGCAGUCGUGCUCAGGGCUCGAACCGAGACAGUCGUGUACGCCGCUCCGCGCUGCUCGCGAAGCGCGUACCUUGAGCUCGUGGCCAGUCUUACGUUUCUAGUUCACGGAUUGUCGCGGCAGCCGAGCUGCCUCCGCGAGUCAUUCGCCAUCUUACUGAAUUUACUACGAGUUUUUCGAGUGACGUUACCAGCCGAGAGUUCCAGAACACGGACGUGUAAUUACGGGUCUCAGAACCUUCGCCGUCUUACGAAACGUUACGUAACGGGCCGCGCAUGUAUUGCGCUUCUUCACGGCGUAAUCUUAAACGGGGUCAGUAUUACGUUGGAAAAUUCCCAACCUGUGUCAGGACGUCUUAACGGACAGUACGGUUUUACGGGAGUCCGGGUCGCCGCGGGAAGGGCGCUUGUUCUGCGACGGUUCCGCCAGGCUGCGGCAGGCUCCAAAACGUCAAUAAAAGAGGCUCGUGAAAU